AGACGUCUACAUUAGAUACCCGCGUAGUCCCAGCCGUAAACUAUGCGCGUUAGGUGUAUCGGUGACCACGAGUUACCGAGGUGCCGAAGGGAAACCGUGAAACGUGCCGCCUGGGAAGUACGGUCGCAAGGCUGAAACUUAAAGGAAUUGGCGGGGGAGCACCACAACAGGUGGAGCCUGCGGUUUAAUUGGACUCAACGCCGGGAAGCUCACCGGAUAGGACAGCAGAAUGAUUGCCGGGCUGAAGACCCUGCAUGAAUCGCUG
This 265-nucleotide ribosomal RNA is filed under the name uncultured archaeon. RNAcentral's name for it is "partial 16S ribosomal RNA". It matches the Rfam family "Archaeal small subunit ribosomal RNA", at positions 717 to 982 of the family's 1478-position model. The record is from RNAcentral.